RNAcentral lists this transfer RNA (64 nucleotides) under Caenis sp. JYZ-2020. Its description in RNAcentral is "tRNA-Tyr". It matches the Rfam family "tRNA". Rfam says of the family: Transfer RNA (tRNA) molecules are approximately 80 nucleotides in length. Their secondary structure includes four short double-helical elements and three loops (D, anti-codon, and T loops). Further hydrogen bonds mediate the characteristic L-shaped molecular structure. tRNAs have two regions of fundamental functional importance: the anti-codon, which is responsible for specific mRNA codon recognition, and the 3' end, to which the tRNAs corresponding amino acid is attached (by aminoacyl-tRNA synthetases). tRNAs cope with the degeneracy of the genetic code in two manners: having more than one tRNA (with a specific anti-codon) for a particular amino acid; and 'wobble' base-pairing, i.e. permitting non-standard base-pairing at the 3rd anti-codon position. The record is from RNAcentral. Lineage: Eukaryota; Metazoa; Arthropoda; Insecta; Ephemeroptera; Caenidae.
GAUGAUAUGGCUGAAUUUAGGCGGUAGAUUGUAAAUCUACAUAUGAGAAAGUUCUCUGUUAUCA